UCUCUGGUGGCUCAGUGGUAAAGAAUCUGCCUGCAAUGCAGGAAACCUGGAUUCAAUUCCUGGUCAGGAAG
This 71-nucleotide transfer RNA is filed under the name Capra hircus (goat). It matches the Rfam family "tRNA". Rfam says of the family: Transfer RNA (tRNA) molecules are approximately 80 nucleotides in length. Their secondary structure includes four short double-helical elements and three loops (D, anti-codon, and T loops). Further hydrogen bonds mediate the characteristic L-shaped molecular structure. tRNAs have two regions of fundamental functional importance: the anti-codon, which is responsible for specific mRNA codon recognition, and the 3' end, to which the tRNAs corresponding amino acid is attached (by aminoacyl-tRNA synthetases). tRNAs cope with the degeneracy of the genetic code in two manners: having more than one tRNA (with a specific anti-codon) for a particular amino acid; and 'wobble' base-pairing, i.e. permitting non-standard base-pairing at the 3rd anti-codon position. RNAcentral also lists the same sequence under 1 other name. The record is from Rfam by way of RNAcentral. Lineage: Eukaryota; Metazoa; Chordata; Mammalia; Artiodactyla; Bovidae.